UGCCUCGCCUCUGACUUUCUGCCUG
Molecule: non-coding RNA, 25 nt
Filed under: Mus musculus (house mouse)
Lineage: Eukaryota; Metazoa; Chordata; Mammalia; Rodentia; Muridae
Source: RNAcentral